This is a long non-coding RNA of Apus apus (common swift), 5829 nucleotides long. RefSeq lists it as uncharacterized. The transcript has 4 exons. NCBI's taxonomy places the organism in Eukaryota, Metazoa, Chordata, Aves, Apodiformes, Apodidae. The record is from RefSeq and is a predicted model, not a curated record.
CUGGGGCCCUCCUGCUCUUUGCUUUUCCCUCUCACAGCUCUGCACUCUCAAGCAAUCCCCAGCAGAAAUGCCAGUGCCCAGAGCCCACAGGACCAACCUCGACUCACACCAGCGAUGCCACUGCUGCCCCAACUCCAGAUCCCUCCUACCAUGGCACUCACAGCUCCAAGGCCACUGCAGGGCUGGAGUAGCUUUUCCUUGGCAUGCAAGUGAAGCAGAGACAGGCUCAGCUCUGAAACCUCUGCAGAGCAAGAAGUCCCUGAAUGAGGUCGAGGCCCCUGCUCAGCCCAGCACUGUUCGGCCGAACGAGCGGCUGGGGAAGCCUGAAGCGGAAUCACAGGGCAGAGAAGAAACGUCCCAAGGGAACGUCACCAGCGUAGUCAUCUCCACACAUGCAAAGGUCCCUUCUGCCUUUUUUUUUUUUUCCCCUUUGAAAUUUCAAAUUCCAGUUUGUGGACAAAGUCCUGCCUAUCUGAGAAUAUAGAUCUCCGACCACUGACCAAACUCCACUCCAAGCAGUCCUGAGGGCUGCUCUUCCCUUGCCCAUGGACACCUCUGCUCAGACCCUGGAUCUGCCAGGAUUGCGCCCAAACUUUUGCACCGGAGCAGAGAGUUCCUCCUUGCACAAAACGGAUUUUGUGUGUUUCAACCUCAACAUCAGCAGCUCCCUUUCUCCACAUGGAAUGGCAAGGACCAUCAGGAAUAACCAGGUUCACUGUCUACACUGGCAGAUGCUCAGCUCGAAUCCAGCCCUGUUUCAAUGUGGGAGCCGAAGCCACAGGGAAGCAGCAACACUGGAGAGAGGAUUUGCUGACAGCAGCAAUCACCUAUUGCUUUCCAUGCCUCGCCAGCUCACACAUUUAGUGUGGCAGGGAUCAGAGCAUCCCACAUCUGGACCUGGAGAGAACUUGUUUAGCAGGGUGUGCAGAAUGCCUGAAUACCCUGUCCUGUCCCCAGUGUCCUCAGCCACCACAGCACUCUCCUGUGCAACACAACCAUCCUGACUGCUGCCACAGACACAAGAACUGCCACAGAAACACCACCAGCAGAAUGCAAGAUGACGUUCCUCCUGCCAAACCUGCCUCUCUCUUGCUGUGCUAAGAAGGAAGGAGCUCAUUCCUGCCCUCUGGAGAUGUUGGACCCUGAGCACCAUCUCAAAGGCGUGAGUCCAGUGGAGGAAACCGUUCCUCAACUGUUUCUGUCCUGUCUCCACCAGCCUCCACUCCCACCCAGAGCAGCCUGGAGUGCAUUUAAGUUGAUUGGGAGAGCACAUGGCUGCAAGCAACUUCCAGAAGGCUCCUGAUGGGUUAGUAAUGGGGAAUGACCAGCAGGUCUGUGCCUGGGGAAGGGGUGCACUGGCAAGGGGAGCUGAUGCCCAGCGGGCCCAUGUGAAGCAGGGAGCACCACUGAGGGCAAGACUGGGUCUGAACUGUGUGUAACACCUGCCUUCACCCCUCUGUUUCCACACCAGUUUUAAUGCCUGUAAUAGAGAAACACACCCAGAUCAACUGAGGUUUCUCCCAGACACUGCCAGUCCCUGAGCACACACCCAUAGAUGGAACCACAGGCAGCACCUGUCUCUGCUUCCACCAGGGUGUCCACAUGGUGGCAAAGCCACCACCUCCGUCCCACCACCAUUUAGCAGCAGACCCCAGGCAGGGGGGCAGCCAGGGCUGUGGGUCUGUGAUGUUCAUCCCCUUGCCCCUCCCGCCUCCUUAUUUCACCCUUCACUUCCCAGUGCCACCUUUGUCCUGCUGACACCAGGCUCUGCAUGGGCUGGGUCCCCUGGGCAUCCACUGGGGCCUUCUCUGUUCCUCUCUGCUGGGACCUGGCUGAGCCUGCCCAUCCCUGGGGCAGCACCUGCUGCUGCUCACAAGCCGUGGUGGCUGCAGGCGAGGGGCUGUGCAGUUUUGCUGGACCUGCAGCACCAGCAGGGCUUUUUUCUAUGGGGCAGUUGUUACUUGACACCUUCCACCAAGCCCCCCAGUGUUGUCCUGUCCAUUAACCUGGCACACCACCCAGCCUCCCAGCCCAUGGCCAAAUUUCCUUGGGUGACCUUAGCACCAGUGACUCCUCUUCCCACACCGAGCUGCUGCUUUUCACUGGUAUGGUUGGGAGGACCCUGGCAGCUGGGGCACAUUGCAGAGGAGCAGCAGCAGCUUCUUCUCACAGCGGGGCAAGGCUUUGGGGACCCUGUGGCAAAAUGAUGAGCAGAAGGGGAGAGAAGUGGGUGAGUGGGGCAGGAGGAGCCGGGCUCUGCAGCCCCCGGAGCGGCGCUGGGCCGGGACCGCGGCGGCUGUCGCUGCUGUGUCUGCAAACACCUCGAGUGGGCUUGACUGUUGAUUCUCACCAUAUAAAAGGCUGUUGUGGCACUUGUUCAGGUUUGUGCAGGUUUUACAGCUCUUGUUCUGAGAAGUGCCCGUGUAUUUGGUUUUGCUCCUUCCUUCAGGUCUAUCUGUUGACUUUGGCUCUCCUAACCAGAGCGUUGGGCCAUGACAGGAAGCUGAGUGUACAGCUCUCCCCACUUUUCCCUCUUUCCCAGGGGUUAUCACCUAUAAAAUCUUGCACACACCCUUGGCUGGGACAUGUUUCUGGUGCAGAGGCAGGUGAAAGGUGCCUACUGGUCCCACGCUAGUGGGUUCAGGUUUGGCCCAGCAGGAGCUGAGCCACCCACCCUGUCAGAUUAGUUUUAGGGUGGAUAGGUGGGGAAGGGUCUGCCCUGGGCAGCUUGGGGUGGGAUGAGCAAAGUCAGAUCUGUACAGAUGGAAGUCUGAGUGUCAAAGCAGGUUGGCUGGGAGGGAGAAGGUGUCAGGGCUCCCUGACCAACAUCACAAAGGAGAUGGCCCACACGUAGUGACCCACAGCAGAGUGUUACCCCUUCCCCACCUCCAGUCCUCUUCCCAGCAGGAGAUGCCAGCACUGGCUGAGCUUCAGGGACACCUUGGUGCUGGGUGGUCAGAGAGCUCGAGCCUGGGGUGAUGUCCAUCAGCACAGGGGCUCCUGGUGCCAUGGGGAUGCAGCUGGAGUCCCUCUGGUGGCUGCAGCAUUUUGGGAUAGAAAGUCUUGUCUGACCCUACAGACCAUUGACUUUUUUGGAGCCAGAAUCUGUCUACCCCUCGACUGUGGGUGUCUUUCCACAGCCACUUGCUCUGCAUGGAACUUCUCCUCUUGCACCUUUGGUGCAUGAUCCAGAGCCCACCAUUGGUUUUUGAGGCAUGCAUUUCCUGAAGGGUUUUGCUGGGUGAUUUCUGUUGAUGUUCAGGCUGAAGGUUGGGCAGGAGCCAUUCCUGGGUGUUAUUACUUCUGGAACACAGCUUAGCUGGAAGGCCCUUGUGGGAAUCUAGUGCCUCUGCUUGGCACUGGUGAGCAGAGCCAUAAACCCUGACAUGAUAUAGCCACUACCUUGAAAUUUACCUUCUGUGAAAAUUCUACAUUUGCCAUUUCCUCAAACAUUUCUGCCAGGAACGUUAUUUGCUUGGAUAUUUGAGGAAAGCAAACAGACAAGGAACCUGAACACAGUUGUGGAGCUUUUUUUUUUUUGUUUUUGCCCCAUUCUAACCCUGAGCUUGCCAGCUGAGACACUUGCAGGUAUCCCCCCCUGCCUAAUGCACCCCUUGGCUCUGCCCUUUGAGCUUUCCUGUCCCAAUCCCACUGCAAAUAUCAUUUAAGAAAUGCCAGCAGCAGACUAACUGACUUGCAGACCUCCACCUGCCCUGCAGAGCUCAAAAUAGCUCUCAGACACUCCUCAAACCUUGCCAGCCUCCUGCUGCUCACCUCCUCGAGCUGGAGCUCCCUGCCCACUUAUAGGAGCCCUCUGUGCUACCUCCCCCUUGUAAAAAUACCAUAGUGUUUUCAAGUGAAGCCAAAGACAAGGGUGUGCUGCUGACUUGGUAAGUGGCUGGGGUGAGGUGGCUGUCCCCACACAGUGGAAGUCACCCUGUGACACUGAGCAGCAUCCCUGCAGCCCCCCACGAUAUGGGGAGCACUGAGCAGCAUCUCUGCAGCUCCCUGUGAUGGGGGGAGCAUCCCCAGCUCUUAGCCAAAGAAACCACCACCAGGCAGCAGCAAACAGCACUCGGGAUCAGGCCAAGCUGGCUCAAGCAGGGAUUGUCCCUUUUGCAUCCUGUCUAAAUACCAGUGCUUAUUCCUGGAUGCACUAAGACCCUGCUCAGAUGUUUCUUGCCCCAGUAAGUGCUGGCCCUGCCAGCACCAUGGCCGCCCUCAACAGCCAGCAGGGAUGGUGGGAAUGGGGAUGGGAAAGGAGGCUGUGCUGGGUGUCCUAACACCCACCCAUCCCUGACAGCCUCUGGGACAUGGACACAGAGCACAAGGAGUAAACAGGAAUUAAAGAGCAGCUGACAUGAGAAAUGAAGGGGAGAAAAGCUCAGUGUGGGUAAUAUCUAGUGGAAAGCUACAAAAACUUAGAUCCAUUUGGCAAUGGAAAACAAUCACUUUGCACUGAAAAGUAAACAUUUUUAGAAAUUCUGCCCCCUUUUGUGUUCUUCAGCUGAAAACUAUUCCCCAGAUCUGACCAGCCUCUCUGAACAGCUCUGACGUCUCACAUUUUUCAGCGAAUUUCCAAAGCUGCUUUGCAGAGCUGGCCCCAAUCAUGUACUGGGCCCUGCUGUAACCACUGGCCUCAGGGAUCCCCAGCUCCAAGAGCUGCUCCCAGAGUACAAAGGAGCAGUGCUGCCUGCGCUGGGAUUGAGGGGAAUUGCCUGGAUUAAGCCCAAGUCUCACGGGGGGGUAAAGCUGGAGCUGGGGGCUCGUUGCCUCCUCGCUGCCCAAGGGUGGACUGUCCCCUCACCCCCUCUCCAUCCCCUACCCUCUCACACACCCGUUUGCAGCCUUCCCUGGUGAUUUAGCACCAGCAUUCCUGGAGGAGCUCACUCCAGCUGACCAGUGAGUGCUGAUGAGGAUGCUGAAUGUGCCCCCAGCCCCACAGCUCUCCAGAAGAGAUGCAUCCAAGAUGCACCCAGGGAUCCACGCAGGGUGCUGGGGACAGGAGGCAUUUGUCACUGCCUGGCAGGGCGUCCUCCAAGCCAUUUACACAAGGCACAGGCCUGAUAGGAGGGAAAUAAGUGUCCCCGAGGUAUGGUUUAAGGGGAAUGCUGGUGGCAGUUUGGGGCAGGGAUGGAUGGGAGGGAUGCUCCAGUCUCUGCUCUUACUGAUGCCACCUCUGCAGAGAGCGGGCUUGUCCCCAGGACAAGUGCCAGUGCUCAGCUUCCCACUUAGAUUGUAUCCCUGGCUUCACAUGGAUGCUGUGACCCUGAGAAGGGUUUGGCUACCACUUUGCCAUCUGUCAGUGGAGCAUCCUGGCUGCUGUGCCCACUUUGCUGCCCACCCCAGCCCCAGCCCUGAGGCACUGCAGGCUCCCUGGGAAGCCAAGCACUGCCCAGUCCCCCAUCCUGGCCAGCCCUUCCUCACCUCUGUUUGGAUAACUUUUUCACCCAUUUUAUUUGUGAGGACUCCCCUCCUUCUGCCAACACUCCCAAGUUUCCUCUUGCUUUGGUCUGGGAAGCCUGUCUUGCUUUUUUAUUCUUACUCUUUUUUUCUCUCUCCCCCUUGCAAGGCCCCUGGCUCAGCAGCCUGGCCCUGAGACAGGCAGGUCUCUUUGUUUGGCCACAGGAGCAGAUGGGGAGAGGGGCUGCAGGUGGGACCUGCACUGGAGACCUGCAGUGAUCCUUCCCUGGCCACCCCACAGUGCCCUUCUCUGCCUGCCCUGGCUUGGCCCGUGGUUUGUUCACUGACCCUCAGGCUGAAAAAUUAGGAGAAGAUCAGGAUUAUUAAAAAAAAUAAAAUAAAUCAGGAGAAAAUUAGCAACACAAA